This 1073-nucleotide ribosomal RNA is filed under the name Halobacterium salinarum. Its description in RNAcentral is "bacterial SSU rRNA". It matches the Rfam family "Archaeal small subunit ribosomal RNA", at positions 47 to 1119 of the family's 1478-position model. Lineage: Archaea; Methanobacteriati; Methanobacteriota; Halobacteria; Halobacteriales; Halobacteriaceae. The record is from RNAcentral.
AGCCUGCUAGUUGUGCGGGUUUAGACCCGCAGCGGAAAGCUCAGUAACACGUGGCCAAGCUACCCUGUGGACGGGAAUACUCUCGGGAAACUGAGGCUAAUCCCCGAUAACGCUUUGCUCCUGGAAGGGGCAAAGCCGGAAACGCUCCGGCGCCACAGGAUGCGGCUGCGGUCGAUUAGGUAGACGGUGGGGUAACGGCCCACCGUGCCCAUAAUCGGUACGGGUUGUGAGAGCAAGAGCCCGGAGACGGAAUCUGAGACAAGAUUCCGGGCCCUACGGGGCGCAGCAGGCGCGAAACCUUUACACUGUACGAAAGUGCGAUAAGGGGACUCCGAGUGUGAAGGCAUAGAGCCUUCACUUUUGUACACCGUAAGGUGGUGCACGAAUAAGGACUGGGCAAGACCGGUGCCAGCCGCCGCGGUAAUACCGGCAGUCCGAGUGAUGGCCGAUCUUAUUGGGCCUAAAGCGUCCGUAGCUGGCUGAACAAGUCCGUUGGGAAAUCUGUCCGCUUAACGGGCAGGCGUCCAGCGGAAACUGUUCAGCUUGGGACCGGAAGACCUGAGGGGUACGUCUGGGGUAGGAGUGAAAUCCUGUAAUCCUGGACGGACCGCCGGUGGCGAAAGCGCCUCAGGAGAACGGAUCCGACAGUGAGGGACGAAAGCUAGGGUCUCGAACCGGAUUAGAUACCCGGGUAGUCCUAGCUGUAAACGAUGUCCGCUAGGUGUGGCGCAGGCUACGAGCCUGCGCUGUGCCGUAGGGAAGCCGAGAAGCGGACCGCCUGGGAAGUACGUCUGCAAGGAUGAAACUUAANGGAAUUGGCGGGGGAGCACUACAACCGGAGGAGCCUGCGGUUUAAUUGGACUCAACGCCGGACAUCUCACCAGCCCCGACAGUAGUAAUGACGGUCAGGUUGAUGACCUUACCCGAGGCUACUGAGAGGAGGUGCAUGGCCGCCGUCAGCUCGUACCGUGAGGCGUCCUGUUAAGUCAGGCAACGAGCGAGACCCGCACUCCUAAUUGCCAGCAGUACCCUUUGGGUAGCUGGGUACAUUAGNUGGACUGCCGCUGCCAAAC